This 21-nucleotide microRNA is filed under the name Arabidopsis thaliana (thale cress). RNAcentral describes it as "ath-miR852". Its record names the gene ath-miR852. The record is from miRBase by way of RNAcentral. Lineage: Eukaryota; Viridiplantae; Streptophyta; Magnoliopsida; Brassicales; Brassicaceae.
AAGAUAAGCGCCUUAGUUCUG